UAUAAUACAUAAAAACAAACGAAUAUUAAUAAAAUUCAAUAAUAUUUGAAUUUCAUAUAUAAAAUAAAUUACAAGUAUUAUACUAACAUCUCAUUAGUCUCACUGUAUGGCCAUAGUAUAGUAUAAGUCACUAUAUUGGUUAUACAACCCCUUAAAGAGUCUCAUUAGUAUCAUUGUACGAUCAUGGUAUAAGUCACAAUAUUUCUUACACAACCCCUUAGGGGAAAAAAGAAAAACUAACAUCCAAAUGUAAAAAAAAAUAUAAAACUUUGCCUCAACAAAAACUAAAUCCUUCUAAAAUAAGGGAACCUUUUGUCUAACCGUCCUGCCAAUAUGAUAAUCAACUUGUUAACUUGUAUGAAGUCUUCAAAAGUUGUUUGUGAGUCUUCAAAAGCUGUAAAAAUUAAUAAAAAAUAUCCAGUAAGCAAAACUACAAAGAUCAAUAGUAAAUAUUAGUUAAAUAAUUGAGAGGUGAUCAUUCCAGCAGCAAUAUAACCAAGCUUAGUUAAUAAGAAACUAGCAAAGUAAAAGAAAAAAGGAAACAACCAUGCUUGAAAAAUAAGAAACUAGUAGAAACAGUGAGGAAAUGAGAUUUAGUUUAUCAAUGAAAACAAAGCAAUGCAUCUCAAAAUAUUCAAAUGAUCUCCAUGGGAAAAAUGGCAAUCUUGCUUAGACGGGAGGUACAACAACAACAAUAACAAAAGAUGGAAUUUAUCAAUAUUACACUCUAAGUGACACUUAGCCUAAGGAACAAAGUUAAAGUUUAAAAUACCAUUAGCAGAGAUAAACGAUGCAAUCUUCUUUCAACAUUAGUGGUAUAUGGUAGAAUGUUCCAAUAUUAUUUAGAAAGCUUGAGUUUAGUAAAAAGGAAUAAACUUAAUUAAGUAAUUUGCUCUAGAGGUUUCAGCUUUGUUGCUCAUCAAUGCAUUGGUUAUACAUACAUAUAAUAGUAUAAAUGUAAUAACAAAUUAUUAGGUGAGAUAAAGUGCAUUCUAAUGAAGUUAAAUACAUACCAAUCAAAUGCUAACAAUGAACAAAUAAUGCAAAAUAAUCUAAUAUCCACUCCACUGUUAGCUCAAGUAUUAGAGAUGGUCGGCCAUAUUUUUUCAACAACAUGGUGGAACACAAGAGAACGAAUCAAUAAUAUAAAAAUUUGGAUAUUCCAGGUUCAUAAAAGUUCAUUCACUUCAAAUGUAACUAACACAUGCAUUUAAAUUAUAGGUGUGAAGGGGUAGGGUCGGUCGGGUAGAGGAAAAGGGAACCAGCCGAUUUCGUUACCGGGCCAGUUUCCGGUUAUUUUUUACUGGGUUUACCGGUUCCGGGCUUUUCCGGUGUAAAAAUUUAACCGGAACAGUUCCGGGCCUACUGGGACGGGUCGGGCUUAUUUAAAUUUUUUGUAUUUUGUAUUUUGUAUAACAAUGAUAAUUAAUAUUAAGAUAAAGUAAAACCGUAAAACACUAUAAACUGACGUAUAAAAAGAAUGUUUGAAUAAAUUUCAAAGGCUUUAAAAUCCUUAUAUUUGAAAAUUUUAUUACGAAUUUAAGAUACUACAAUGAACAUGAAAAAAAUAUAACUUAUAAUAUAAGUCUUAUAGUACUAGAGUGUUAAUAAGUUGACAUGUAAGGAUCAAACUUCAAAGAUUUUUAUAGUUUCGUUUCAAAUUUUUAUUGCAAAAUAAUACUUCAAAUUAAUCUAACAAACUAAAACAUUAAGCUUAAAUAUGUCUAAUAAUUUUAAAAUAACACAAAUUAUCUCAAAUCAACUUAAAUACGAAUUUCUGGAGGACGCUGAGAACAACUCUUCAUAUGCCUCCUUAAACAGCCUGUGCCCUCCCUCUUUCGACAAACAUUUAAGACUCGACCACAGUUCUUGCACUUUACUUUGCGAACUUCUUCAUUUUCUUCUACCACCUUAAAGUAUUCCCAAACAUAUGAGCGCACUCUAGAAGUAUGGAGCAUGAUUUAACUUGAACUGAGAAUUUGGGUUUGAGAAUUGAGAGAUGAGUAAAGAAAUGAAGAAGGAGGGUCUAUUUAUAGUUUUUCAAAUGGCUAAAUUUGUAAAUAAUAAAAGUGUUAUUUUUAAAAAAAAUAAUGCCCAAAAGGGCUAUUCCUGCAAAUUAGCCAUUGGGCAACGGUCAAAAUGGCAGCUGACUGUUACCAAACGGUCAACUUUAUAAAAAAAAAUCAAAAUAGCUGUUGAACCGGUCCAAGACGGUCCGGUUAACUAUUUCCCAAAUGACUUGACCAUAACGGGUCGAACCGGUCCGAUUAACCGAAACCAAAAAUCUACUCGGCACAGGCCGAUCCCCGUCCCAACCCAUCCCUGCCAGCCCCCUUACUACCGGUCCGGGCCGGUCUAAAAUCGGUCAGGGCCGGUCCGAAACCGGGCUAGCCCGGCCCAUUUGACACCUUUAAUUUAAAUCACUAGGAUUCACUUUUUUUAUUUUUAGUUGACUCAUUUUUACAUUAGCAUCUAAAUAUCGAGAUUCAUAUAACAUAUAAAACGACCAAUUGUAAAUCACAAAGCGCCAUCUUACAUGAAUUAUGAAGCAGUCAUUCUAACAGUGGUUCUCCAAAACUUUUGCAAAAUGAUGAGAUUACUGCCCGCCAUAUCAUAGCUUAGUACAACCCAAAAUAUGAAAACAAGUCCGAAAAAUAAUUACUCAAACUAAACCAGUAAUGAUUCAAGCAAAAGGAUAAUGGAAUUCAAAAUUGAGUUAGAAUCAAUAGGACAUACAUGAUCUUGAUGUAUGUGUUUCAAUGAAGCAGCAAUUUCAACUAAAUAAAAAAGAACCAAUACUAGAAGCAAAUGAUGACAGAUAAAUUAAAAACAUAUUUCGAAUCAAAUUGAAAAUUAAUUUAAGGAGAUCCUAAGCCACGAAUAGAGAAUUUCACAAAAUAAUUAAGAACUACAAGAAGCUUCAGUACUAAAUAAACAAAAAAUAAAAGUAAGCAGAUUGAAAGAUUAAGAAAAAACAAACCUGAGAAAUUGCAGCUUGAAUAAAGAGAUUUAAGGUUGAGAGAAAACUUCAGAGGGCGGGGAGUCAUUCUUUUGGGGAUGAAUUUGAGAGGGUUUAGGCCCUUUGGAUAGGGAUUUCAGAGGAUGAGUGGAUUUUAAGUCGAAAUAUUUUUACGAUUUUUUUUUAUUUUUCUAGAUGCAUAAUUAAAUGGUUCUUUUCUCAUUUAAAGUAUAGGGACAAGAAUUUUAAUAUUUCUAUGGACUAGAUUUUGUUCCGUCGUUAAAUAAAAAGAUAAAAUCUGGUAAUAAUGACUAGAGAAAAAUCUCGUCUCAAUAAGUAUACUUUUAG
Molecule: long non-coding RNA, 3307 nt
Filed under: Nicotiana tabacum (common tobacco)
Lineage: Eukaryota; Viridiplantae; Streptophyta; Magnoliopsida; Solanales; Solanaceae
Description: long non-coding RNA (NTAB_LNC014568)
Source: RNAcentral